CAGAUCCUACGGGGGGCAGCAGUAGGGAAUCUUCCACAAUGGGCGAAAGCCUGAUGGAGCAACGCCGCGUGGGUGAAGAAGGUCUUCGGAUCGUAAAACCCUGUUGUUAGAGAAGAAAGUGCGUGAGAGUAACUGUUCACGUUUCGACGGUAUCUAAACAGAAAGCCACGGCUAACUACGUGCCAGCAGCCGCGGUAAUACGUAGAAGGCAAGCGUUAUCCGGAUUUAUUGGGCGUAAAGGGAACGCAGGCGGUCUUUUAAGUCUGAUGUUA
RNAcentral lists this ribosomal RNA (272 nucleotides) under uncultured bacterium. RNAcentral describes it as "partial 16S ribosomal RNA". It matches the Rfam family "Bacterial small subunit ribosomal RNA", at positions 332 to 597 of the family's 1533-position model. The record is from RNAcentral.